This 495-nucleotide ribosomal RNA is filed under the name uncultured bacterium. RNAcentral describes it as "partial 16S ribosomal RNA". It matches the Rfam family "Bacterial small subunit ribosomal RNA", at positions 29 to 506 of the family's 1533-position model. The record is from RNAcentral.
AUGAACGCUGGCGGCGUGCCUCAUACAUGCCAGUCGAGCGAACAGACGAGGAGCUUGCUCCUCUGACGUUAGCGGCGGACGGGUGAGUAACACGUGGAUAACCUACCUAUAAGACUGGGAUAACUUCGGGAAACCGGAGCUAAUACCGGAUAAUAUAUUGAACCGCAUGGCUCAAUAGUGAAAGACGGUUUUGCUGUCACUUAUAGAUGGAUCCGCGCCGCAUUAGCUAGUUGGUAAGGUAACGGCUUACCAAGGCAACGAUGCGUAGCCGACCUGAGAGGGUGAUCGGCCACACUGGAACUGAGACACGGUCCAGACUCCUACGGGAGGCAGCAGUAGGGAAUCUUCCGCAAUGGGCGAAAGCUUGACGGAGCAACGCCGCGUGAGUGAUGAAGGUCUUCGGAUCGUAAAACUCUGUUAUUAGGGAAGAACAAAUGUGUAAGUAACUAUGCACGUCUGGACGGUACCUAAUCAGAAAACCACGGCUAACUACGU